AUGAACGCUGGCGGUGUGCCUAAUACAUGCAAGUCGAGCGAACAGACGAGGAGCUUGCUCCUCUGACGUUAGCGGCGGACGGGUGAGUAACACGUGGAUAACCUACCUAUAAGACUGGGAUAACUUCGGGAAACCGGAGCUAAUACCGGAUAAUAUAUUGAACCGCAUGGUUCAAUAGUGAAAGACGGUUUUGCUGUCACUUAUAGAUGGAUCCGCGCCGCAUUAGCUAGUUGGUAAGGUAACGGCUUACCAAGGCGACGAUGCGUAGCCGACCUGAGAGGGUGAUCGGCCACACUGGAACUGAGACACGGUCCAGACUCCUACGGGAGGCAGCAGUAGGGAAUCUUCCGCAAUGGGCGAAAGCCUGACGGAGCAACGCCGCGUGAGUGAUGAAGGUCUUCGGAUCGUAAAACUCUGUUAUUAGGGAAGAACAAAUGUGUAAGUAACUAUGCACGUCUUGACGGUACCUAAUCAGAAAGCCACGGCUAACUACGUG
Molecule: ribosomal RNA, 496 nt
Filed under: uncultured bacterium
Lineage: Bacteria
Description: partial 16S ribosomal RNA
Rfam family: Bacterial small subunit ribosomal RNA
Source: RNAcentral